This 1311-nucleotide ribosomal RNA is filed under the name metagenome. Its description in RNAcentral is "bacterial LSU rRNA". It matches the Rfam family "Bacterial large subunit ribosomal RNA", at positions 1601 to 2925 of the family's 2925-position model. The record is from RNAcentral.
CAUGCUUCCAAGAAAAGCAUCUAGAGAGAGAAGUAGUGCCCGUACCGCAAACCGACACAGGUAGAUGAGGAGAGAAUCCUAAGGCCGGCGGAAGAAUUGCAGUUAAGGAACUAGGCAAAUUGACCCCGUAAGUUCGCGAGAAGGGGUGCCUGCGAGAGCAGGCCGCAGAGAAUAGGCCCAAGCAACUGUUUAGCAAAAACACAGGUCUCUGCUAAAGCGUAAGCUGAUGUAUAGGGGCUGACGCCUGCCCGGUGCUGGAAGGUUAAGGGGAACACUUAGCGCAAGCGAAGGUGUGAACUUAAGCCCCAGUAAACGGCGGCCGUAACAAUAACGGUCCUAAGGUAGCGAAAUUCCUUGUCAGGUAAGUUCUGACCCGCACGAAUGGCGUAAUGACUUGGGCACUGUCUCAACUGCAAAUCCGGCGAAGUUGUAGUGCGAGUGAAGAUGCUCGCUACCCGCGAUUGGACGGAAAGACCCCGUAGAGCUUUACUGUAGCUUAGCAUUGAAUUCCGGUAUUGUCUGUACAGGAUAGGUGGGAGACUGGGAAACUAGGGCGUCAGCCUUAGUGGAGUCAACCUUGGGAUACCACCCUGACAGUACUGGGGUUCUAACAGGACGCCAUGAAGCUGGUGACUGGACAUUGUUAGGUGGGCAGUUUGACUGGGGCGGUCGCCUCCUAAAAAGUAACGGAGGCGCCCAAAGGUUCCCUCAGAACGGUCGGAAAUCGUUCGUAGAGUGCAAAGGCAGAAGGGAGCCUGACUGCGAGACCCACAAGUCGAGCAGGGACGAAAGUCGGGCUUAGUGAUCCGGUGGUACCUCGUGGGAGGGCCAUCGCUCAACGGAUAAAAGCUACCUCGGGGAUAACAGGCUGAUCUCCCCCAAGAGUCCACAUCGACGGGGAGGUUUGGCACCUCGAUGUCGGCUCGUCGCAUCCUGGGGCUGUAGUAGGUCCCAAGGGUUGGGCUGUUCGCCCAUUAAAGCGGCACGCGAGCUGGGUUCAGAACGUCGUGAGACAGUUCGGUCCCUAUCCGUCGCGGGCGUAGGAAAUUUGAGAGGAGCUGUCCUUAGUACGAGAGGACCGGGAUGGACUGACCUCUGGUGCACCAGUUGUUCUGCCAAGAGCAUGGCAGGGUAGCUAAGUCGGGAAGGGAUAAACGCUGAAAGCAUCUAAGCGUGAAGCCCCCCUCAAGAUGAGAUUUCCCAUAGCAUAAGCUAGUAAGACCCCUUGAAGAACACAAGGUUGAUAGGUCAGAGGUGGAAGUGCGGUAACGUAUGCAGCUGACUGAUACUAAUAGGUCGAGGGCUUGACCU